Long non-coding RNA from Nannospalax galili (Upper Galilee mountains blind mole rat), 687 nucleotides. RefSeq lists it as uncharacterized. The transcript has 4 exons. Lineage: Eukaryota; Metazoa; Chordata; Mammalia; Rodentia; Spalacidae. The record is from RefSeq and is a predicted model, not a curated record.
UGUCACUCCCUCUUUUUCUCUCUCCCUUCUCUGCCUUUUAUGUCCCGUCCCCUCCCAUUCUUUCUACAGUGCCCAAGGUGCUGGGGCUGAAAGCAGCAAGCAGCAAACAAGAAUGUCCUGCAGAGGGCCAAAACCGGAUCGACUUACACCGAGCACACUGGAGUCUUUUUAUUUCUGUCCUCCCUAUAUUUUGGAAGCUCCAGCAGGAAUGUGGCCUGAAUUUAAACAUGAGGAGCCGCGACCAUUAACAGCUGCAGGCACAGAAAUAAGUCAUAAUCCUGAACAUGUGGUCAUGUUGGGUUCCAGGACCAGCAGAACCUUGAUGAACAGACUCCACCACCAGAUGGGGCAAUUAUCCAUGAGGAUGAGGAAGAGACUAAAUCAUCUGCUGAGGUGGGCUGAGGGGAGCAUGCUAUUAUAGGGCAAGAAGACUCCUUACUGGCUGGGCCUUGUGAUGUGCUCAAAAAUGAAGCAGGCCAACAGAGAUGACCUCAGUCUCCAUCCAAGAUCUACCACGAAACCCAUAAAAGGCCACUGGGCAGGGCAACAUGGUGUUCCUCCCUGGGACCUCCCCUACUCUCACAAGUUCUUUCCCCCUUUUCCUUAAUCAAUCUAUGUUCCUCCACUCCCUCCUCGUCUGGGUUUCUUAUUCUCCAUGGGUGUGAAACAAUAAACUCAAAAGCAUUG